RNAcentral lists this ribosomal RNA (409 nucleotides) under Escherichia coli. RNAcentral describes it as "partial 23S ribosomal RNA". It matches the Rfam family "Bacterial large subunit ribosomal RNA", at positions 1335 to 1746 of the family's 2925-position model. The record is from RNAcentral. Lineage: Bacteria; Pseudomonadati; Pseudomonadota; Gammaproteobacteria; Enterobacterales; Enterobacteriaceae.
CGCCGGAAGACCAAGGGUUCCUGUCCAACGUUAAUCGGGGCAGGGUGAGUCGACCCCUAAGGCGAGGCCGAAAGGCGUAGUCGAUGGGAAACAGGUUAAUAUUCCUGUACUUGGUGUUACUGCGAAGGGGGGACGGAGAAGGCUAUGUUGGCCGGGCGACGGUUGUCCCGGUUUAAGCGUGUAGGCUGGUUUUCCAGGCAAAUCCGGAAAAUCAAGGCUGAGGCGUGAUGACGAGGCACUACGGUGCUGAAGCAACAAAUGCCCUGCUUCCAGGAAAAGCCUCUAAGCAUCAGGUAACAUCAAAUCGUACCCCAAACCGACACAGGUGGUCAGGUAGAGAAUACCAAGGCGCUUGAGAGAACUCGGGUGAAGGAACUAGGCAAAAUGGUGCCGUAACUUCGGGAGAAGG